This is a long non-coding RNA of Toxorhynchites rutilus septentrionalis, 877 nucleotides long. RefSeq lists it as uncharacterized. The transcript has 2 exons. NCBI's taxonomy places the organism in Eukaryota, Metazoa, Arthropoda, Insecta, Diptera, Culicidae. The record is from RefSeq and is a predicted model, not a curated record.
AUCAGAUGUUGAAAGCCUAGUUGUCACGAUAUUGAAGACACUUAUUGUCAAUUCGGUUGACCGUGUAAGGUGCCCAUAACAAAACCGUUGCGGCGCAUCAUCUCCAUCGAGCCACCGCAGCGGAUGGGGAACCGUACAACAGUGAUUUUGGAACCGUACACACCCGCCCCGCCCUGUGUGUUUUAUAUAAUACACAUUCCAUUAUCGAGGCUCCGCGGCGGUCUGUCAUUGCAAAAUCCGCGCGGGAGAGCCGUCCAGUGUGUUCUUACGCUUAGUGGAGUAAAGUGCGCUACACAUACAGCGUCCCGUCACCGUGAAGUCAACGUAAAGGAAUGAGAUGUCAAAUAUUCUCCCAUGGAAAUCAUAUGGUAGCAUUCACAUACAUCAUCACCGGCAACUUUGACGUCGGCAAAAUAGGUCCAAGAGAAUAAUUGACGGGGCGGUGACGGUGACGCUGUUUCUUCUCGCUGAUCGUUAGCCACAAAAGGACCAUUUUUGGGAACUUGGAGUAGAAGAUAUAUUUGACGACAUCGCUUACUUACUUGGAGGGGAACGUAAAGUACCCAGUCCCCUAUCAGUGGUUGCUUUCCAGCGUGAGUCACGCAACACCGUUGGCCGGCCAAACCCAGGAUUACAUUUGACGCUCUCGUUUCCUCCAGAGAGGAGACGAUGUCAUAAAUGCCGUAUAGGCUAUAUCCGGCGAACACAAACUGCCUCACGAUAUCCAACUUCUUCGCUCCGGGGUGGAGCUGGCGGUGCAAAUAAAGCAUCGAGCGUAGUUGCUUAAUUGUUGCUGCUGCUGCUUCAGAUCGACUGAUAAGAGCGUCGAAGCAUAUUUGUAGAAUGAUUAAUAAACAUAUGAUUUGUUGAAAAUUUA